UUAUGUUCUGCAUGCAAGUUGAGGUAUAUGAACUAUUCUUAUAUGAAAACAAGCUGGUCGAUUGUCAAGUUGUGAUCGGUUUGAGUGAAAGAUUAGGACUUGAGCGAGCGUGAUCUGGUUACCGGAGUGAAAUCUCCUGGUAUAAUGAGUAUACUCUUAUUCCCUUUGUACAAAUUCCUGAAUGGAGCAAAUAAUAUCCUUUGUACUAAAAUUUCUUUUGUCAUAAAAGAAUUUGACGGACCAAAAGGGGUGUAUAUGUUUCCAUUCCUUAUCAUUUUCUCAUAGAUUCAUAUUUUCCCUAGGUUUUUGAAUAUAUUAUAAAUACAUCUGGAUUAAGAAAUCUUCAUGAAAGAAAUGCCUAAUGGGCAAACUGAUUAUUACUGUUUGAAGUACACACUAUUACAGUUUUCGAAUAUAUUAUACAUACACAGCUUGACUGAAGAUCAUUAAAAAGGUUAGUUACUGCUAACAAAGGAAAUUCUGCAGUAAUACUGCAGUAAUAAUAAUUCAUGUACAACUGCCUACUAGCAUUAUUACACCAUUUUCCCUCAAAAUUGGCUUGGUAAUGCUAAAUUUAGAAUAACCGCAUCUAGCUAAACAAAUCUUGGUAAUGAAAUGCCCAAUACUCCGUUAUAUCAGCAGCAUGACUUUGAAUGCACUAAAACUCGAACGGCUCAUGUCAAUGGUGUAGCACCCGACGAGGACAAUAGCAAGGCAACGCCGCAUCGUGCUCCUAUGAUCCACUGAGGCGCCUGCUCUACUACUUCAAAGAGACUGCACAAGCACUGACUGAAGGCAACCGAUAGCGCGUACAGAUGGUCGUGAUUGACACGAGGCCCCUAGAAUCCGUAUAGUCUGCCCUGAAUCUCUUCGAGCAGAGAAGUGACCACAGAAGAUUCAGCAGCCCCGACAGAAACGUACAUGGUUGAACUGCGUCCUGUUGAAAUCCAUCGAUCUUUUCUCUGACGCAUGUUGUUUGCAAGUGUAGGAGCAAGAGAUCGACAUCGUGGCCAAGGAGCUGGCGACCUGCAAGCUACAGCUGGAGGCCAAGGAGAGCGUGAACAUGCAGGCGAACAUGAAGCUAGAGGCGCAGCGGAAGACCAUGUAGGACCUCUCAGAGAAGUACGACCAGGUGUUGGACACGGUCGUUGGUUUCUCUCCUUGUUUUUUUGGCAGCAGGGGAAGAAGGAGGAGGAGGAGUUCAGCACGGGGCCCCUCUCCAUUCUCAUGCUCAGCGUCAAGAACAACACCCAGGUCUGCCCUGAAGCAUCACAAAGAAGAGCGAGUGAAGAAGUUUGACUAAUGCAUGCCUUUACUGCUUGUGAUGCUGUCGUCAAAGCUCUUACCGGAGAUGGAAGUCAAGGAAACUACAAAGAGGGAACAGUUGUUAUCUGGAAUAACGAAUCUACCUGUGCCUUCUCAAAUGGAUUUCUGUUUGUUUUUGCUAGUGGAAUGAAGUCCACUGUAGUGACAAUAGCAGUUGUUUUUCCUAUAGUGACAGUAGUCCAUUGUAGUGACAGUAGCAGAUGUACCGGAGAUGGAAGUUGAGAGUGGAAUGAAGUCUAUUGUAGUGACAGUGGCAGAUGUAAGGAAAUGUAUUUAGGAGAUGACUUAUUGUGUUAUGUAAACCUGGGAGAUGUCUUAUUUGAUGUUAUAUGA
This is a long non-coding RNA of Hordeum vulgare subsp. vulgare (domesticated barley), 1659 nucleotides long. RefSeq lists it as uncharacterized. The record is from RefSeq and is a predicted model, not a curated record. The transcript has 4 exons. NCBI's taxonomy places the organism in Eukaryota, Viridiplantae, Streptophyta, Magnoliopsida, Poales, Poaceae.